Molecule: ribosomal RNA, 600 nt
Filed under: uncultured bacterium
Lineage: Bacteria
Description: bacterial SSU rRNA
Rfam family: Bacterial small subunit ribosomal RNA
Source: RNAcentral
GCAGUCUUACUGACGUUCAUGCUCGAAGGUGCGGGUAUCGAACAGGAUUAGAUACCCUGGUAGUCCGCACGGUAAACGAUGGAUGCCCGCUGUUGGCGACACACUGUCAGCGGCCAAGCGAAAGCAUUAAGCAUCCCACCUGGGGAGUACGCCGGCAACGGUGAAACUCAAAGGAAUUGACGGGGGCCCGCACAAGCGGAGGAACAUGUGGUUUAAUUCGAUGAUACGCGAGGAACCUUACCCGGGCUUGAACUGCAGGAGAACGAUUCAGAGAUGAUGAGGUCCUUCGGGACUCCUGUGGAGGUGCUGCAUGGUUGUCGUCAGCUCGUGCCGUGAGGUGUCGGCUUAAGUGCCAUAACGAGCGCAACCCCUCUCUUCAGUUGCCAUCAGGUUUUGCUGGGCACUCUGGAGACACUGCCACCGCAAGGUGUGAGGAAGGUGGGGACGACGUCAAAUCAGCACGGCCCUUACGUCCGGGGCUACACACGUGUUACAAUGGGUGGUACAGAGAGUAAGUCCCCAGCAAUGUGGAUUCAAUCAUGAAAGCCAUCCUCAGUUCGGAUUGGGGUCUGCAACCCGACCCCAUGAAGCUGGAUUCGC